GCUAGCGUAGCUUAACUAAAGCAUGACACUGAAGAUGUUAAGAUGGACCCUAGAAAGUCUCGCGGGCA
This 68-nucleotide transfer RNA is filed under the name Parupeneus barberinoides (bicolor goatfish). RNAcentral's name for it is "tRNA-Phe". It matches the Rfam family "tRNA". Rfam says of the family: Transfer RNA (tRNA) molecules are approximately 80 nucleotides in length. Their secondary structure includes four short double-helical elements and three loops (D, anti-codon, and T loops). The record is from RNAcentral. Lineage: Eukaryota; Metazoa; Chordata; Actinopteri; Syngnathiformes; Mullidae.